UGGAGUAACACGUAAAUAAUCUACCCUUCGAGUGGGGAAUAACGUCCGGAAACGGGCGCUAAUACCGCAUAAUGCAGCGGCACCGCAAGGUGACAGUUGUUAAAGAUUUAUUGCUUGAGGAGGAGUUUGCGGCAGAUUAGCUAGUUGGUAAGGUAAUGGCUUACCAAGGCUACGAUCUGUAUCCGGUCUAAGAGGACGGUCGGACACACUGACACUGAAUAACGGGUCAGACUCCUACGGGAGGCAGCAGUCGGGAAUUUUGGGCAAUGGGGGAAACCCUGACCCAGCAACGCCGCGUGAAGGAUGAAGUUUUUCGGAAUGUAAACUUCGAAAGAAUAGGAAGAAUUAAUGACGGUACUAUUUAUAAGUCC
RNAcentral lists this ribosomal RNA (371 nucleotides) under uncultured soil bacterium. Its description in RNAcentral is "bacterial SSU rRNA". It matches the Rfam family "Bacterial small subunit ribosomal RNA", at positions 107 to 493 of the family's 1533-position model. The record is from RNAcentral.